Molecule: ribosomal RNA, 253 nt
Filed under: uncultured bacterium
Lineage: Bacteria
Description: partial 16S ribosomal RNA
Rfam family: Bacterial small subunit ribosomal RNA
Source: RNAcentral
UACGGGGGGGGCAAGCGUUGUUCGGAAUUACUGGGCGUAAAGGGCUGGUAGGCGGCCAACUAAGUCGGAUGUGAAAUCCCCAGGCUUAACCUGGGAACUGCAUCCGAUACUGGUCGGCUUGAAUCCGGGAGAGGGAUGCAGAAUUCCAGGUGUAGCGGUGAAAUGCGUAGAUAUCUGGAGGAACACCAAUGGCGAAGGCAGCUCGCUGGGACGUGACUGACGCUGAGACGCGAAAGCGUGGGGAGCAAACAGG